GUUUGAUCCUGGCUCAGGAUUAACGCUGGCGGCGUGCCUAAUACAUGCAAGUCGAACGGAAGUUUAAGCAAUUAAACUUUAGUGGCGAACGGGUGAGUAACGCGUAAGCAAUCUGCCCCUAAGACGAGGAUAACAGUUGGAAACGACUGCUAAGACUGGAUAGGAGACAAGAAGGCAUCUUCUUGUUUUUAAAAGACCUAGCAAUAGGUAUGCUUAGGGAGGAGCUUGCGUCACAUUAGUUAGUUGGUGGGGUAAAGGCCUACCAAGACUAUGAUGUGUAGCCGGGCUGAGAGGUUGAACGGCCACAUUGGGACUGAGACACGGCCCAAACUCCUACGGGAGGCAGCAGUAGGGAAUUUUCGGCAAUGGAGGAAACUCUGACCGAGCAACGCCGCGUGAACGAUGAAGUAUUUCGGUACGUAAAGUUCUUUUAUUAGGGAAGAAUAAAUGAUGGAAAAAUCAUUCUGACKGUACCUAAUGAAUAAGCCCCGGCUAACUAUGUGCCAGCAGCCGCGGUAAUACAUAGGGGGCAAGCGUUAUCCGGAAUUAUUGGGCGUAAAGGGUGCGUAGGCGGUUAAAUAAGUUUAUGGUCUAAGUGCAAUGCUCAACAUUGUGAUGCUAUAAAAACUGUUUAGCUAGAGUAAGAUAGAGGCAAGUGGAAUUCCAUGUGUAGUGGUAAAAUGCGUAAAUAUAUGGAGGAACACCAGUAGCGAAGGCGGCUUGCUGGGUCUUUACUGACGCUGAGGCACGAAAGCGUGGGGAGCAAACAGGAUUAGAUACCCUGGUAGUCCACGCCGUAAACGAUGAGUACUAAACGUUGGGUAAAACCAGUGUUGAAGUUAACACAUUAAGUACUCCGCCUGAGUAGUACGUACGCAAGUAUGAAACUUAAAGGAAUUGACGGGACUCCGCACAAGCGGUGGAUCAUGUUGUUUAAUUCGAAGGUACCCGAAAAACCUCACCAGGUCUUGACAUGCUUCUGCAAAGCUGUAGAAACACAGUGGAGGUUAUCAGUUGCACAGGUGGUGCAUGGUUGUCGUCAGCUCGUGUCGUGAGAUGUUGGGUUAAGUCCCGCAACGAGCGCAACCCUUAUUGUUAGUUACCAGCACGUAAUGGUGGGGACUUUAGCAAGACUGCCAGUGAUAAAUUGGAGGAAGGUGGGGACGACGUCAAAUCAUCAUGCCCCUUAUGACCUGGGCUACAAACGUGAUACAAUGGCUGUUACAAAGGGUAGCUGAAGCGCAAGUUUUUGGCGAAUCUCAAAAAAACAGUCUCAGUUCGGAUUGAAGUCUGCAACUCGACUUCAUGAAGUUGGAAUCGCUAGUAAUCGCGAAUCAGCAUGUCGCGGUGAAUACGUUCUCGGG
RNAcentral lists this ribosomal RNA (1364 nucleotides) under Water dropwort witches'-broom phytoplasma. RNAcentral's name for it is "16S ribosomal RNA". It matches the Rfam family "Bacterial small subunit ribosomal RNA", at positions 11 to 1378 of the family's 1533-position model. The record is from RNAcentral. Lineage: Bacteria; Bacillati; Mycoplasmatota; Mollicutes; Acholeplasmatales; Acholeplasmataceae.